Molecule: ribosomal RNA, 1374 nt
Filed under: uncultured marine bacterium
Lineage: Bacteria
Description: bacterial SSU rRNA
Rfam family: Bacterial small subunit ribosomal RNA
Source: RNAcentral
GAUUGAACGCUGGCGGUAUGCUUAACACAUGCAAGUCGAACGGAAACGAUACUAGCUUGCUAGUAGGCGUCGAGUGGCGGACGGGUGAGUAACGCGUAGGAAUCUACCUGAUAGUGGGGGAUAGCCCGAAGAAAUUCGGAUUAAUACCGCAUAAUCUAUUCGUAGUAAAGUGGGGGACUUUCGAGCCUCACGCUAUCAGAUGAGCCUGCGUAAGAUUAGCUAGUUGGUAGGGUAAAAGCCUACCAAGGCUACGAUCUUUAGCUGGUCUGAGAGGAUGAUCAGCCACAUCGGGACUGAGACACGGCCCGAACUCCUACGGGAGGCAGCAGUGGGGAAUAUUGGACAAUGGGGGCAACCCUGAUCCAGCAAUACCGCGUGUGUGAAGAAGGCCUGAGGGUUGUAAAGCACUUUCAAUUGUGAAGAAAAGCUAGUGGUUAAUAGCCAUUAGCCUUGACGUUAACUUUAGAAGAAGCACCGGCUAACUCCGUGCCAGCAGCCGCGGUAAUACGGAGGGUGCAAGCGUUAAUCGGAAUUACUGGGCGUAAAGCGUGCGUAGGCGGUUUAUUAAGUCAGAUGUGAAAGCCCCGGGCUUAACCUGGGAACUGCAUUUGAAACUGGUCAACUAGAGUAUGGUAGAGGAAAGUGGAAUUUCUGGUGUAGCGGUGAAAUGCGUAGAUAUCAGAAGGAACAUCAAUGGCGAAGGCAACUUUCUGGACCCAAUACUGACGCUGAGGUACGAAAGCGUGGGUAGCAAACAGGAUUAGAUACCCUGGUAGUGCACGCGUAAACGAUGAUAACUAGCCGUUGGGGGGAUUUACCCCUUAGUGGCGAAGCUAACGCGUUAAGUUAUCCGCCUGGGGAGUACGGCCGCAAGGUUAAAACUCAAAGGAAUUGACGGGGACCCGCACAAGCGGUGGAGCAUGUGGUUUAAUUCGAUGCAACGCGAAGAACCUUACCUGGUCUUGACAUCCUGAGAACUUUCUAGAAAUAGAUUGGUGCCUUCGGGAACUCAGUGACAGGUGCUGCAUGGCUGUCGUCAGCUCGUGUCGUGAGAUGUUGGGUUAAGUCCCGUAACGAGCGCAACCCCUAUCCUUAUUUGCCAGCACAUCAUGGUGGGAACUAUAAGGAGACUGCCGGUGAUAAACCGGAGGAAGGCGGGGACGACGUCAAGUCAUCAUGGCCCUUACGACCAGGGCUACACACGUGCUACAAUGGGAAGGACAAAGAGCCGCGAAGCCGCGAGGUGUAGCUAAUCUCAGAAACCUUUUCGUAGUCCGGAUUGGAGUCUGCAACUCGACUCCAUGAAGUCGGAAUCGCUAGUAAUCGUAGAUCAGAAUGCUACGGUGAAUACGUUCCCGGGUCUUGUACACACCG